UUUUGCCAAUAAAAAGAAUGUUCUGAAAUAGUUCAAAAGUGGUGGAAGGAAUAAUAUGUUGAGUUUCUUCACUUAAGCAGCCAAAGCAAAUCUACCUGAGGAAUGCAAAGACUAGCAAUGGUCAGUCCAGCAAUGAUGUCCCCUCGAAAUUUGGUGAAAUUGUAACUUCUACCCCAUUCAAGGAUGGGGAAGAUGGUUUGCAUGCCCAGGAUGAACUUUUUCGAUCCUGGUUGGUCCUUGAAAGGACGCAGAGGAUCAUCCGCAAAGAAUGUCUCCUUCACAGUAGCUUUGAUUUCUUUCAAGAGAUUUUGCUUAGGGGGAAUUCCAACCUUGUGUGUAUGUGGUGCGUUAGGAGUCUGAGGAUGAGAGGAUGACAGGCUUCUAAUGUCCAUAUCUUUUGUUUCGUGCUCUUUGUCA
Molecule: unclassified non-coding RNA, 417 nt
Filed under: Hevea brasiliensis (rubber tree)
Lineage: Eukaryota; Viridiplantae; Streptophyta; Magnoliopsida; Malpighiales; Euphorbiaceae
Source: RNAcentral